UCACCUGGUCACCCCGUUAAUAAGGACCCUGCUCUUCCUCAAACUGUGACAUCACCUGGUCACCCCGUUAAUAAGGACCCUGCUCUUCCUCAAACUGUGACAUCACCUGGUCACCCCGUUAAUAAGGACCCUGCUCUUCCUCAAACUGUGACAUCACCUGGUCACCCCGUUAAUAAGGACCCUGCUCUUCCUCAAACUGUGACAUCACCUGGUCACCCCGUUAAUAAGGACCCUGCUCUUCCUCAAACUGUGACAUCACCUGGUCACCCCGUUAAUAAGGACCCUGCUCUUCCUCAAACUGUGACAUCACCUGGUCACCCCGUUAAUAAGGACCCUGCUCUUCCUCAAACUGUGACAUCACCUGGUCACUCUGCCAUCUUGCUUUUCUCUUAAUGGAAAUAUCAUUAAAACCAAGUCUCACACAAACACACAGAGACAGACAGACAGACAGACAGACACAGAGAGAAAUAUUUUUCUUUUUGCACAGUUGGGAUUCAGGGCAUUUAUCAUCUCUGACCUAGAUUUUGACUGGCCAAUUUAGCUUCUGAAACUUCCAUUUCUCUGGGGCAAAUGUGUUCUCCACAGCACGACUGCUUCUUUGUUCAAAGGCUUGCUACUCAUUUUUCAAAGCUCCUUAGAUGAGUCUUAAUGCUUCGGGAGCAGUGUUUACGCCUCAUGCUCCCGUGCAGGCCUGACCUCAAAUCCCCCCCCCACAACCUACUCCUUCCAGUGUGGACACAGUCGGGAGUGAUUUCCUGUUCUCUCUUUCCAUCAUGUGAUGUGUUCCCUGAGAGAGUAUGGAAAAAAAGUUCCCGAUUUCUACCACCUAAAGAGUGCUGUAAGGUGUCCCCUGCUUCUGUCCCCGCCACCACUGCCUUAUUUCAUUCUUAACUGUGGCCUGGACUGUUUCAAUGGCCGCUGCCCUACCAUCUGUGCCUGGCUUCUAAUUCUUGGACGACACAAGAGACUAAGGCAGUGAAAGUACGAACGUGCUGAAAACCUGUCGCUGGGUUCCUUGGCAGGGAUCCUAAUUCUGUCACUAGCGAAGCCUGGGCAUUGCCACGCCUCAUGUACAAGGCUCAUCACCUGACACUCUUCACCUGGAAACCAAGGGUCUGCGUGUUGACAUCAAGGCUUCCUAAGAGACUGUCCCUCUCAUUCAACCACGGUUCUGCAAACGCCCACUUCAGCCUGACCAACGUACCCAACUUUGCCUAGUUAACCAGUUUUCUGAGACCUUUCCAGUCAGUGACCAUCGGCUCAUCGAUGUUACCAUAGUAACCAGGAUGUCCCUCCAUUCGCACUAUGUAGUAAGGAAGCUGUUGAUGGACACUGCUGGCGCUGACCUUUCCCAGACAGAGCAAUCUCCCAUCCUGAUGUCGAAGCCUUUCUCUGGCAUCUGCCAGAUUCUUCUCCAGCGCCGACCUUGCGAGGCUUGGUAAGAACCUAAGAAGAGAGAUGGAGUCUGGUGGUUAACCUAGUGCUUUCUUUGGUUCUUAAGUAUCUGUUAACAUGCACACUUUACUAAUUACAACCAACUGAGGAGAAACUGUGUUUAUGAAACAUAAAGCAUAUGUAAUUUUAGCAUAAGUAUAAAUUCAAGGUAUGUGGAAAGUCCUUGUUUGUGUAAUCUUUAAUCACUAAGCUUAUUUGUUAUUAGCAAUAUUCCAUC
Long non-coding RNA from Mesocricetus auratus (golden hamster), 1672 nucleotides. RefSeq lists it as uncharacterized. The transcript is spliced from 3 exons. The record is from RefSeq and is a predicted model, not a curated record. NCBI's taxonomy places the organism in Eukaryota, Metazoa, Chordata, Mammalia, Rodentia, Cricetidae.